This 607-nucleotide small RNA is filed under the name Pongo abelii (Sumatran orangutan). RNAcentral describes it as "processed transcript". The record is from RNAcentral. Lineage: Eukaryota; Metazoa; Chordata; Mammalia; Primates; Hominidae.
GGUUGUGGGGAAGAAAACUGAGACCUAAAAAGGUGAAGCGGUCGUCCCAAAGGCUUCCAGCUGCUCCCAGUACUCAAGGACUUGGAGCACACUUGGGGAAAUGCUCACUGUUGUAUUCCCAUUCCUCACUAUCCGGGAGGCCUGAACUCUCAAACUCCGAAUCUGAUUUCCACUCUCCCAGGAAGGCUUCGGAAAUCACUUUUUUCUUCUUCUCUAUGGGUCAGCUUUCUACUCAGCAUACCUUCUUUCCUGGAAGCAAAAUGGUUGCACCAAGUCCAGGCAUCACCACCCAUAUACCAUGUUUUCCAGAAGGAAAGAGAGCUUCUCUUGACCCACUUAUUGAACAAAGUCUUGAACUUCGUCUGAUUAGUUCAACUUAGUUCAUCCCUGAACCAGUCAUGGUGGAUCGUCAAUACAGGAGUCCAUACUGACUCAAUCCCUAAUUUUGGCCUGUAUUCUUCUCCCUGUCUGAACCAUCUUCUUAGAAGGCACUGAACCAAGAGUGCCAGAAAACCAUCCCAAGACUCACAUAGUUGUUCCUCCAUAGUGGAUGUUUUGGCCACUGGACAUCAGAACCACAUAUUGGGUUUGAAGAAUCUUCUACAUG